GCAGAGAAUAGAAAGAACAUACAGAUUCGACCUGUAUUCAGGAAACAAGACCAAAAAGCACACUGUAACUCUAUUUUCUAAUGUUUGGCUUUGGGAUUUUGUGGUUCUAUUUUCCAGGAGGAGAGAGUGCGGCUGUGCUUCACAAUAAGGCCUCAGGUGGCAAGGGAUCAAGAAUGGCCGGAAUAAGCCAAGGCAACUUCAACACACCCUCAGCUGUUCUCUUAUAGAUCUCAGAAAUGAGGAGCAACAGCAAAGGCUACAGAAAGCCCCUGGAGGCGGAAAUGACCACGUCACAAGCGCAUGUGCCUUGGAACUCAGGAGUGCAGCCUGGCUGGAAGGAGUCCUGACAAAGAGAGGAUAUACCGACCUAAUGCUUCUCUCUCCCUGAAUUUAAUUAAAUAUCCUUUGGAACAUGAAAUGUAAAACAUUAUUCAAGGAGGAACUUUAUCUUUCAGGGCAGCAAGAAUCCAGAAGAAGAAGUUGAGGUUAUCAGAAACACUACACAUGAUUCAACCUAAAUUCUGCAAUGCAUGAGCCUGUGUACAUCGAUUAAAAGAGAGAAUCUUAAGCAGGCUCCACGCCCAGCGCAGAGCCUGACACGGGACUCGAGCUCACAAUCCUAAGAUCAUGACCUGAGCCAAAAUCCAGAGUCAGACACUCAACCGACUGAGUCACCCAGGUGCCCUGAUGUGCUCUUUCUUUUAGAAUGAACUUCCUGAAGACUAGUAUUCAGUUU
Molecule: long non-coding RNA, 736 nt
Organism: Mirounga angustirostris (Northern elephant seal)
Lineage: Eukaryota; Metazoa; Chordata; Mammalia; Carnivora; Phocidae
Exons: 3
Source: RefSeq, a predicted model, not a curated record